RNAcentral lists this transfer RNA (71 nucleotides) under Ictidomys tridecemlineatus (thirteen-lined ground squirrel). Its description in RNAcentral is "Spermophilus tridecemlineatus (thirteen-lined ground squirrel) tRNA". It matches the Rfam family "tRNA". Rfam says of the family: Transfer RNA (tRNA) molecules are approximately 80 nucleotides in length. Their secondary structure includes four short double-helical elements and three loops (D, anti-codon, and T loops). Further hydrogen bonds mediate the characteristic L-shaped molecular structure. tRNAs have two regions of fundamental functional importance: the anti-codon, which is responsible for specific mRNA codon recognition, and the 3' end, to which the tRNAs corresponding amino acid is attached (by aminoacyl-tRNA synthetases). tRNAs cope with the degeneracy of the genetic code in two manners: having more than one tRNA (with a specific anti-codon) for a particular amino acid; and 'wobble' base-pairing, i.e. permitting non-standard base-pairing at the 3rd anti-codon position. Lineage: Eukaryota; Metazoa; Chordata; Mammalia; Rodentia; Sciuridae. The record is from Rfam by way of RNAcentral.
GUGGUUGUGGCUCAGAGGUAGAGUGCUUGCCUAGCAUGCAUGAGGUACUAGGUUAAAUCCUCAGCACCACG